CCAGUUUCAUCACUAAGAAGACCUGAAAAGACCUAGAAUUUUUUUUUUAUACCAGUUUAAAGAUAUACGCCUUAAACCCAAAGAAAUAAAUGGCUCAAGAGGCCCAGGUUAUAUGACACUUGGCACAACAAAUAGUGCUUAACCUUCAAAGACAAUACCAACAACAACAACAAAAAGCCUCAAGGACAAUCCUAUUAGGCCAACGAAAUCCGCUCCAGCCAACCCCAUGCAACGAGCAGCUUGGUCCCCAAGUACUAGCAUGCACAUAGUAGUUGCCAAGAAUGUAUGUUUCACUCAAUUUCAUGAUCCUCACACUCUUACGCAAGUAACAACGUACAUCAGGGCAAUUGACACCCCAAUUUAACUUUCUAAGUACACUCUCCUUCAACCUCAAUUCUUUGCUAUUACUUCACCAAAAUCUUUUCUUAUACCUUAUUCCCAUUGUCUUCCUCUUUUAACUUAAAUAUGAAAAAGAGACUUUACCCUUUGUUUUGCAGAAAUUUUCUUGACCCCUAAAGUUCAAGAAGUAGCUUCCAUCCCCAAUCACCUUUAAGGAAAACAUUAAUAAAUAUCAUUGAUGGUAAACAACAAAACAGCAUAUCUAAAAUGGCUUUUAAAUAAACGUUUUCAAGACUAUUCUUUAAACCGUGGUUUCCCUAACAUUUUUCAAUGAAUAUGAUGAAACCGUGGAAGAGACCAUCAUACCUAGAAGAGGACAACACGUGGCAAGAGAGGUAAAGCCAUACAAAUACACCUCUCAACCUUGAAGCUCACCCUCUACUCUAAGCUCCAACCACACUAUUUCUUUUCUCAAAGCUUCUCCUCCUUCAUAGCUUUCUUCCAUCACUCAACCCAUACGGCUCUCCAUUCAAACAAGAUGAACCAACCUCAAUUUCCUCC
This 900-nucleotide long non-coding RNA is filed under the name Gossypium barbadense (sea-island cotton). RNAcentral's name for it is "long non-coding RNA (GBAR_LNC018813)". The record is from RNAcentral. Lineage: Eukaryota; Viridiplantae; Streptophyta; Magnoliopsida; Malvales; Malvaceae.